Molecule: long non-coding RNA, 226 nt
Filed under: Rosa chinensis
Lineage: Eukaryota; Viridiplantae; Streptophyta; Magnoliopsida; Rosales; Rosaceae
Description: sRNA RchiOBHm_Chr5g0050531
Source: RNAcentral
AUGCUAGAUGUGCAGUACCUUCAUCUUAAUGCAGCUAUUGAUUCCAGCAUAGGCCUUAACCCAGCCCCUCUUUUUACAGUUACCAGCAACAAUUGGAGGUAAGGAUAUUAGUUUGUUUGGUGAAAUUGGAAUUGAAGUCCAUAUUAGGAAGAAUUGCUCAAAGCUGUGAGGAAUUAAGGAGCAUAUUGAAUAAAGCUUUAAGGUUAUUACCUGAUUUCUAGAGUCU